RNAcentral lists this long non-coding RNA (1099 nucleotides) under Sus scrofa (pig). RNAcentral describes it as "lncRNA (ENSSSCG00065019967.1)". The record is from RNAcentral. Lineage: Eukaryota; Metazoa; Chordata; Mammalia; Artiodactyla; Suidae.
AUGAGUGGUUCCUUCUUUUGUGAUUCAGUAGCAACUUGUGUGUGCUUCUCUUUGAUCACUUUGCUAGUUCUUUCUCAUUGUGGUAAUCUGUUUACAUGGCCCUCUUCCCAGGCUCCAAAAGUAGACUCUGUUUUAUUCCUCUUUUUAUUUCCAGUGCCUGGCCAAGUGCCCAGCAUUGGGAGGUGUUCGGUGUAUUGUUUGGGAAGCCAUAUUUUCUGGCAUUGGAAUCAAGGCACCUGGGUGCCCAUGGGACCAUCAACCAUGCUGGGGAUAACACUGCUAAAUGCUCCACACAAUCACGUCUGUGAAGAAGGAAGAUUGAUGGUGGCCCCUGCACGAGGCACAGACAAGACCUGUCAUAGUUGUCAUGUGGUUAUGGCCUACACCCUGUAAAUUAUAGUCAAAGGGCGCCAUUAAAAAGUCUAGCAGAUGAAAGCAACAAAGAAAGUUUCCAGAAGACAACAAGGAAAGUUUCUAGAAGACCAGCAGCUGAAGGUCAUGGGAGUUGUGUGAAUGUGCUCCUUCUAACGGCCCUGGCUCACCUCUGCCUGAGCCUUGGCAGGAUUUGAACUUGGAGCCUGGAAGGCACACCUGGAACUUUCAGUGAAGACGCAUCUGGAGAGGCCUUGGAAUAGUUCAGUAGACAUCACACUGUACCCGAAUUUUCUCUCUUCUCUUCCCCCACUUCCUCCCCAGGAAGGUAAAAUAGACUAAAUGAUCAAUUAGGGAGUUCUGUUGUAGCUCAGCAGUAACAAACCCUACUAGCAUCCAUGAAGAUGUGGGUUUGAUCCCUGGCCUCGCUCAGUGGGUUAAGGAUCCCCAGCAUUGCUGUGAGCUAUGGUGUAAGUCGCAGAUGCAGCUCAGAUCCUGUGUUGCUAUGGCUGUGGUGUAGGCCGGUGGCUGCAGCUCAGAUUCAACCCCUAGCCUGGGAACCUCCAUAUGCUGUAGAUGCAGCCCUGCCUUACUAUACAGCACAGGGAACUGUGUGUGAUUGGGUCACUUUGCUGUACAACAGUAAUUGAAGAAAUAUUGUAAAUCAACUAUUUUUUCAUUUUUUUAAAGCAAUAAAUAAAUAGAUAGAUAAAUGAAUUAACGAAAU